Salvelinus sp. IW2-2015 is the source of this 889-nucleotide non-coding RNA. Lineage: Eukaryota; Metazoa; Chordata; Actinopteri; Salmoniformes; Salmonidae. The record is from RefSeq and is a predicted model, not a curated record.
GUCAGUGCCAGUGUCGUACUGAGUUUGGAAGCAGACAGUGUGAUGAGUGUGGGGAGAAUCACUUUGGGAACCCUGGCCUGCGCUGUGUCACCUGUGACUGCAAAUGGAGGGUACCGACCGGCCUGCCUGCGACCCAUUGACGGGUGAGUGCCUGUGCACAUUGGUGUGAAGGGCAUCUUCUGUGACGAGUGUGCCCCUGGGUAUGACCAAGUCUUCCCUGCCUGCACCCCGUGCCAACCCUGUGCCGUCCUGUGGGCGGACAACGUCACCGACGUCCACCGUGCCGCCCAGAGGAUGCGUACCUUUAUGCCUUGCAACGGUGAGCAACUGGAGCCAGGAUACAGUCGUCGGUGGGAACGCAUGCUGGAGAUGCACUCCAAGUUGGACUAUCUGGUGAACCUGACUGGGAGAUUUCUACCUCGGGUGAAGGAUGUGGAGAAGUUCUGUGUCAGAAUCUCGAAGCUCAAAGACACCAUAGAUCCCAACGGCAUCAUCAUGGACCUAACGUCUAUUCUGAACACUGAGAUCGACAACAUCCGAAGUUCAAGAUACCAUUGGAUAACUUAAAGGACAAAAUCAGCGAGGAGCCAACAGUAGAUACAGUGAAACUGCAAGGUACAUAUGGCCAUAUAGUUUGUUUUUUUAUCAUUUGGAAUUCACUGUAAUUUCACUGUGUAUGUAGAGCAACUUGAUAAAAUGUAAAGUGUGAGUAUCUGAUUGGUGGUGUUAGGUUCUAAUUAUCAGAGUAAGAACUCGACGGACACUAUGAAAGCUUAAACCAAGUUUAUUCUACCCUAAGGAUCGAACAGCUGAACUGACAAAAUACAUAUUCACACAAGCACUGAUAUUUAACCCUUUCUCCUAUGCUGAGUCUCCUCCUACACAUCUG